CUGCAGCAGAAAUAACUAUGAUUCCCUUAGUAACGGCGAGUGAACAGGGAAAAGCCCAAAUUUGUAAUCUGGCACUUUUACGAGUGUCCGAGUUGUAAUUUGUAGAACUGUUAUCCGUGCUGGACCAUGUACAAGUCUGUUGAAAAGCAGCAUCAUUGAAGGUGAAAAUCCUGUAGAUGAUAUGGACUACCAGUGCAUUUGUGAUACGGUUUCUAAGAGUCGAGUUGUUUGGGAAUGCAGCUCAAAGUGGGUGGUAAAUUCCAUCUAAGGCUAAAUAUAAGUGAGAGACCGAUAGCAAACAAGUACCGUGAGGGAAAGAUGAAAAGAACUUUGAAAAUAGAGUUAACAGUACGUGAAAUUGCUGAAAGGGAAACGUUUGAAGUUAGUAUUGUAUUCGUUGGAUCAGCUUCGCAAGGAGUGUAUUCUGAUGAUAAGCAAGUCAACAUCAGUCUUUGGGUGUUGGAUAAGGGUUUUGAGGACGUAGCAAUUUAAUUGUGUUAUAACUUGAGACUUGGAUACAAUGCCUGGGAUUGAGGAACGCGUAGUAAGCUUUGAGCGGGUCAGAAAUGAUCUCCUUACUAUGGAUGUUGGUGAAAUAUCUUUAAGCGACCCGUCUUGAAACACGGACCAAGGAGUCUAACAUGCAUGCGAGUAUUAGGGCCUUGAAACCCGAAUGCGAAAUGAAAGUGAAUUUCAAAUGUGAUCCGCAAGGUGCAACAUUGACCGGUCCAGAUUAUUUAUAUGACGGUACUGAGUAAGAGCAUGUAUGUUAGGACCCGAAAGAUGGUGAACUAUGCCUGGAUAGGGUGAAGUCAGAGGAAACUCUGAUGGAAGCUCGUAGCGGUUCUGACGUGCAAAUCGAUCGUAGAAUCUGGGUAUAGGGGCGAAAGACUUAAUUCGAAACCCCAUU
This 910-nucleotide ribosomal RNA is filed under the name Melampsora abietis-populi. RNAcentral's name for it is "partial 28S large subunit ribosomal RNA". It matches the Rfam family "Eukaryotic large subunit ribosomal RNA", at positions 53 to 944 of the family's 3401-position model. The record is from RNAcentral. Lineage: Eukaryota; Fungi; Basidiomycota; Pucciniomycetes; Pucciniales; Melampsoraceae.